GGGGAGUAGACGGUGACGGGGAUUCCCUUCCUUUACCCGCCGCCUGCUCUCCCGACAGGAGGUGAAGGACCAGCUCAGUAUAUGAAGAAACAUUGUGCCCACUGGCACACACGUGGCAUCCUGCCUUGCAGGCCAGUCCACUGUUCCCCGGAAUUAGUAGGGGCCCUGGUGGGUUUUGGCUGAGACCCUUUGUAACUGCUGUGCUGGUUCGUCUUGAUGUGAUUUGAGAAUUUAUAAUGGACUUUAUCAUCGCUUCAGGCUUGCUUCUCAUCUGAUAUUAUCCACUUUGAAUUAAAUACCUGAAUAGGGCUUUAUGUGCUGAAAUACAAGUAUUAAAAUAGAAUUUAGAAUUACAA
This is a long non-coding RNA of Neopsephotus bourkii (Bourke's parrot), 356 nucleotides long. RefSeq lists it as uncharacterized. The record is from RefSeq and is a predicted model, not a curated record. NCBI's taxonomy places the organism in Eukaryota, Metazoa, Chordata, Aves, Psittaciformes, Psittacidae. The transcript has 2 exons.